UGAGGUUAAGUUAACAAGGGCGCAUGGUGAAUGCCUUGGCACUAGGAGCCGAUGAAGGACGGGACUAACACCGAUAUGCUUCGGGGAGCUGUACGUAAGCUAUGAUCCGGAGAUUUCCGAAUGGGGCAACCCAGCAGUUUUAAUCAACUGUUACCACUAGAUGAAUUCAUAGUCUAGUUGGAGGUAAACGCUGUGAACUGAAACAUCUCAUUAGCAGCAGGAAUAUAAAGAAAUUUCGAUUCCCUAAGUAGCGGCGAGCGAACGGGGAACAGCCCAAACCAAAGUGCUUGCACUUUGGGGUUGUAGGACUGAACAUUUGAGUUACCAAAGAACUUGAUAGUCGAAGGAUUUGGGAAAAUCCGCCAUAGAUGGUGAUAGCCCAGUAGAUUAAAUCAAAUUCUCUCAGUUCAGGAUCCUGAGUACGGCGGAACACGUGAAAUUCCGUCGGAAUCCGGGAGGACCAUCUCCCAAGGCUAAAUACUACCUAGUGACCGAUAGUGAACCAGUACCGUGAGGGAAAGGUGAAAAGCACCCCGGGAGGGGAGUGAAAUAGUUCCUGAAACCAUGUGCCUACAAUAAGUCAGAGCGCGUUAAUGCGUGAUGGCGUGCCUUUUGUAGAAUGAACCGGCGAGUUAUGAUCCCGUGCAAGGUUAAGACUAAAAAGUCGGAGCCGUAGCGAAAGCGAGUCUGAAAUGGGCGUUUUGAGUACGAGGUUAUAGACCCGAAACCAGGUGACCUAUCCAUGUCCAGGUUGAAGGUGCGGUAAAACGCACUGGAGGACCGAACCCGUGUAAGUUGAAAAUUGCUGGGAUGAGGUGUGGAUAGCGGUGAAAUUCCAAACGAACUUGGAGAUAGCUGGUUCUCUCCGAAAUAGCUUUAGGGCUAGCCUCGGAAUUAGGAUCAUGGAGGUAGAGCACUAUUUGGACUAGGGGCCCGUCUUGGGUUACUGAAUUCAGAUAAACUCCGAAUGCCAUUGAUUCAUAUCCGGGAGUCAGACGAUGAGUGAUAAGAUCCACCGUCGAAAGGGGAACAGCCCAGACCAUCAGUUAAGGUCCCUAAAUGUAUGCUAAGUGGAAAAGGAUGUGGAGUUGCAUAGACAACUAGGAUGUUGGCUCAGAAGCAGCCACCAUUUAAAGAGUGCGUAAUAGCUCACUAGUCGAGUGAUCCUGCGCCGAAAAUGUACCGGGGCUAAGCAUACUACCGAAACCAUGGAUGCGACCAUUAGGUCGCGUGAUAGGAGAGCGUUCUAAGGGCGGUGAAGCAAGAUCGUGAGGACUUGUGGAGCGCUUAGAAGUGAGAAUGCCGGUAUGAGUAGCGAAAGAUAGGUGAGAAUCCUAUCCACCGAAUGACUAAGGUUUCCUGGGGAAGGCUCGUCCUCCCAGGGUUAGUCGGGACCUAAGUCGAGGCCGAGAGGCGUAGACGAUGGAUAACAGGUUGAGAUUCCUGUACUAGUUAAGUGCGUUUGAGCAAUGGAGGGACGCAGGAGGCUAAGAUGUGCAUUCUGUUGGAUUAGAAUGUCCAAGCAGUAAGUCUUGUGAAGAGUCAAAUGCUUUUCACUUUAAGGACAAGCUGUGAUGGGGAGCGAAAUUUAGUAGCGAAGCGUCUGAUGUCACACUGCCGAGAAAAGCUUCUAGUGAGUACUUAACUACCCGUACCGCAAACCGACACAGGUAGUCGAGGAGAGAAUCCUAAGGUGAGCGAGUGAACUCUCGUUAAGGAACUCGGCAAAAUGACCCCGUAACUUCGGGAGAAGGGGUGCUGAUCGCAAGAUCAGCCGCAGUGAAUAGGCCCAGGCGACUGUUUAUCAAAAACACAGGUCUCUGCAAAAUCGUAAGAUGACGUAUAGGGGCUGACGCCUGCCCGGUGCUGGAAGGUUAAAAGGAUGGGUUAGCUUCGGCGAAGCUCAGAAUUGAAGCCCCAGUAAACGGCGGCCGUAACUAUAACGGUCCUAAGGUAGCGAAAUUCCUUGUCGGGUAAGUUCCGACCCGCACGAAAGGCGUAACGAUCUGGGCACUGUCUCAACGAGAGACUCGGUGAAAUUAUAUUGUCCGUGAAGAUGCGGACUACCCGCGACAGGACGGAAAGACCCCAUGGAGCUUUACUGUAGCUUGAUAUUGAGUGUUUGUACAGCUUGUACAGGAUAGGUAGGAGCCAUAGAAACCGGAACGCUAGUUUCGGUGGAGGCGUUGGU
This 2191-nucleotide ribosomal RNA is filed under the name Lactiplantibacillus plantarum. Its description in RNAcentral is "bacterial LSU rRNA". It matches the Rfam family "Bacterial large subunit ribosomal RNA", at positions 1 to 2193 of the family's 2925-position model. The record is from RNAcentral. Lineage: Bacteria; Bacillati; Bacillota; Bacilli; Lactobacillales; Lactobacillaceae.